UCUAUACUGACCCCGUCAGGUGAGUGCUUGCCCCGCGGUGAGCACGGAAGUCCGGUGAAAAUCCGGCGCAGCCCCCGCUACUGUAAGGCGGACGAAACCCGAACGAGCCACUGGGAAACCGGGAAGGCCGGGGAGUAGGACGAUGCCGAGCCAGGAGACCCGCCUGAACAUCACGAACGGG
Molecule: non-coding RNA, 181 nt
Filed under: Spirochaeta africana
Lineage: Bacteria; Pseudomonadati; Spirochaetota; Spirochaetia; Spirochaetales; Spirochaetaceae
Also listed under: 1 other name
Source: RNAcentral